RNAcentral lists this ribosomal RNA (370 nucleotides) under uncultured eukaryote. RNAcentral's name for it is "partial 18S ribosomal RNA". It matches the Rfam family "Eukaryotic small subunit ribosomal RNA", at positions 592 to 976 of the family's 1831-position model. The record is from RNAcentral.
CAAUAGCGUAUAUUAAAGUUGUUGCAGUUAAAAAGCUCGUAGUCGGACCUUGGACCUGGACAGGCGGUCCGCCUCACGGCGUGUACUGUCUUGCUGGGUCUUUCCUCUUGGUGAUCUGUUGUUUCGGCAGCAGGGAACCAGGACUUUUACUUUGAAAAAAUUAGAGUGUUCAAAGCAGGCUCGACGCCGGAAUAUAUUAGCAUGGAAUAAUAAAAUAGGACGUGCGGUUCUAUUUUGUUGGUUUUUGGAAUCGCCGUAAUGAUUAAUAGGGACAGUCGGGGGCAUUAGUACUCACAUGCUAGAGGUGAAAUUCUUGGAUUUUGUGAAGACUAACUUCUGCGAAAGCAUUUGCCAAGGAUGUUUUCAUUAA